Molecule: ribosomal RNA, 515 nt
Filed under: uncultured bacterium
Lineage: Bacteria
Description: bacterial SSU rRNA
Rfam family: Bacterial small subunit ribosomal RNA
Source: RNAcentral
UAUGGCUCAGAUUGAACGCUGGCGGCGUGCUUAACACAUGCAAGUCGCGCGUGAAAGGACUUCGGUCCGAGUAAAGCGGCGCACGGGUGAGUAACGCGUGGAUGAUCUACCCAUGAGUUAGGAAUAACGGCUGGAAACGGUCGCUAAUACCAAAUACGCUCCGAUUUCAACUUCGGGGGAAAGGUGGCCUCUGCUUGCAAGCUACUGCUCAUGGAUGAGUCCGCGUCCCAUUAGCUAGUUGGUGGGGUAACGGCCCACCAAGGCGACGAUGGGUAGCCGGUCUGAGAGGAUGACCGGCCACACUGGGACUGGAACACGGCCCAGACUCCUACGGGAGGCAGCAGUGGGGAAUAUUGCGCAAUGGGCGAAAGCCUGACGCAGCGACGCCGCGUGAGGGAUGAAGGUCCUCGGAUCGUAAACCUCUGUCAGGAGGGAAGAACCGCCACGGUGCUAAUCAGCCGUGGUCUGACGGUACCUCCAAAGGAAGCACCGGCUAACUCCGUGCCAGCAGCGGC